Molecule: ribosomal RNA, 1153 nt
Filed under: Micrococcus luteus
Lineage: Bacteria; Bacillati; Actinomycetota; Actinomycetes; Micrococcales; Micrococcaceae
Description: bacterial SSU rRNA
Rfam family: Bacterial small subunit ribosomal RNA
Source: RNAcentral
AAGCCUGAUGCAGCGACGCCGCGUGAGGGAUGACGGCCUUCGGGUUGUAAACCUCUUUCAGUAGGGAAGAAGCGAAAGUGACGGUACCUGCAGAAGAAGCACCGGCUAACUACGUGCCAGCAGCCGCGGUAAUACGUAGGGUGCGAGCGUUAUCCGGAAUUAUUGGGCGUAAAGAGCUCGUAGGCGGUUUGUCGCGUCUGUCGUGAAAGUCCGGGGCUUAACCCCGGAUCUGCGGUGGGUACGGGCAGACUAGAGUGCAGUAGGGGAGACUGGAAUUCCUGGUGUAGCGGUGGAAUGCGCAGAUAUCAGGAGGAACACCGAUGGCGAAGGCAGGUCUCUGGGCUGUAACUGACGCUGAGGAGCGAAAGCAUGGGGAGCGAACAGGAUUAGAUACCCUGGUAGUCCAUGCCGUAAACGUUGGGCACUAGGUGUGGGGACCAUUCCACGGUUUCCGCGCCGCAGCUAACGCAUUAAGUGCCCCGCCUGGGGAGUACGGCCGCAAGGCUAAAACUCAAAGGAAUUGACGGGGGCCCGCACAAGCGGCGGAGCAUGCGGAUUAAUUCGAUGCAACGCGAAGAACCUUACCAAGGCUUGACAUGUUCUCGAUCGCCGUAGAGAUACGGUUUCCCCUUUGGGGCGGGUUCACAGGUGGUGCAUGGUUGUCGUCAGCUCGUGUCGUGAGAUGUUGGGUUAAGUCCCGCAACGAGCGCAACCCUCGUUCCAUGUUGCCAGCACGUCGUGGUGGGGACUCAUGGGAGACUGCCGGGGUCAACUCGGAGGAAGGUGAGGACGACGUCAAAUCAUCAUGCCCCUUAUGUCUUGGGCUUCACGCAUGCUACAAUGGCCGGUACAAUGGGUUGCGAUACUGUGAGGUGGAGCUAAUCCCAAAAAGCCGGUCUCAGUUCGGAUUGGGGUCUGCAACUCGACCCCAUGAAGUCGGAGUCGCUAGUAAUCGCAGAUCAGCAACGCUGCGGUGAAUACGUUCCCGGGCCUUGUACACACCGCCCGUCAAGUCACGAAAGUUGGUAACACCCGAAGCCGGUGGCCUAACCCUUGUGGGGGGAGCCGUCGAAGGUGGGACCAGCGAUUGGGACUAAGUCGUAACAAGGUAGCCGUACCGGAAGGUGCGGCUGGAUCACCUCCUUUCUAAGGA